Physcomitrium patens is the source of this 1113-nucleotide long non-coding RNA. RefSeq lists it as uncharacterized. The record is from RefSeq and is a predicted model, not a curated record. Lineage: Eukaryota; Viridiplantae; Streptophyta; Bryopsida; Funariales; Funariaceae.
GCGAAAUGCGAUGUGCUUGUGGAGUGUUUGUACAAGCAGGAGGGGAGAAUGAUGCAAAUAUGCAUUUGAUUGCGGAGCAUCUACAUUAAGAUCAACCGUGUUUUUGCAGGGGGUUUUUGCGAAAGAAUAAGUGACGAAAGCUCAAGCUACGCCCCAGAUCCUGGCUCUGCUUACUAUCAGAUGACCCAUACCUUCAAGUGGCCUUAAGAGUAAGACGGAUUGUUCUGUAACAUGCCGGUGCAAAAAGUGUCAGAGAGUUGUUGCACAGGACGUAAAUGCUAUCGAGCGCAGGAUGGUGGUGGUGAGGAAUCUGAAUCCAGGGGUAAACGGAGAAUGGCCGAAGAGCGACCAGUUUGUACGUCAAAUAAAUGCAUCUAAAGUUCUUUGGUGGUAUUAAUCAUCAAGCCUUGCGGCGGAUUCUAUAAUACCACUAACCUCGACGGUUGCACUGCUAGUGUGAUAAUUCUGACCAAGCACGAUGCAACCUUCAAUUCACCUGUAUUGAGCUUCGUACCCGGGCACACACUAACGGCCUCCCUGAAGCUUUGAUUGAUCCCGAAUGACUUGUUAGGUAUUGAAUGCUGCGUGGAACGCUGGCAUCUCUAUGGCUUGUGAGGAUGCACUUGGUUGUUUUGACCAUGAGAAUGCUUAACUCGGGAAAAUUCGUAAUGACCGACGUUGGACUGCUUUCACCUACAUCAGCGUCAACCGCGAACUCAUGAAAUUACACAAUCUGAAAGGGUUUUCUCCAGUGAAGCUUUUGUAUGGCAAACAUUCACCUUUGAAAUAGGUCCAGGUUUCUUACAAGAUGAUAUCAUUCUCGAGUGAUGACUUUGCAAACAUUUGUACACGGAUCAAUUCGAGAUCUAAGCCUUGCACAAGAAGUUGUGCAUGAUUCAGCUUCAUAGGUUACAGAGAUAAUUUCUAAGCUGGAUCAUCAGUUAUUCAGCAAACAGCGUUAUCAUAAUUCAGGAUACGAGAAUUAUCAUAAUUCGGGAUCAGAUCAAAGUUGUCCCUUGGAAGUUGAGUGACUUGCAAAGACUUGUAUCAUUAUUUGAACCAAUGCCCUUGAUAAUUCAUUUUAUAAUAAUAAAGAAAACGCAUUUCCACUAA